UACGUAGGGGGCAAGCGUUAUCCGGAUUUAUUGGGCGUAAAGAGCUCGUAGGCGGCUGAUCGCGUCGGUUGUGAAAGCUCAGGGCUCAACCCUGAGACGCCAAUCGAUACGGAUCGGCUAGAGGUAGGUAGGGGAAAGUGGAAUUCCCAGUGUAGCGGUGAAAUGCGUAGAUAUUGGGAGGAACACCAGUGGCGAAGGCGGCUCACUGGACCGGAACUGACGCUGAGGCGCGAAAGCGUGGGGAGCAAACGGG
Molecule: ribosomal RNA, 253 nt
Filed under: uncultured bacterium
Lineage: Bacteria
Description: partial 16S ribosomal RNA
Rfam family: Bacterial small subunit ribosomal RNA
Source: RNAcentral